RNAcentral lists this ribosomal RNA (253 nucleotides) under uncultured bacterium. Its description in RNAcentral is "partial 16S ribosomal RNA". It matches the Rfam family "Bacterial small subunit ribosomal RNA", at positions 524 to 776 of the family's 1533-position model. The record is from RNAcentral.
UACGUAGGGUGCAAGCGUUGUCCGGAAUUAUUGGGCGUAAAGAGCUCGUAGGCGGUUUGUCGCGUCGAAUGUGAAAACCCGGGGCUCAACCCCGGGCCUGCAUUCGAUACGGGCAGACUAGAGUUCGGUAGGGGAGUCUGGAAUUCCUGGUGUAGCGGUGAAAUGCGCAGAUAUCAGGAGGAACACCGGUGGCGAAGGCGGGACUCUGGGCCGAUACUGACGCUGAGGCACGAAAGCGUGGGGAGCAAACAGG